RNAcentral lists this ribosomal RNA (394 nucleotides) under uncultured Acetobacter sp. Its description in RNAcentral is "bacterial SSU rRNA". It matches the Rfam family "Bacterial small subunit ribosomal RNA", at positions 505 to 895 of the family's 1533-position model. Lineage: Bacteria; Pseudomonadati; Pseudomonadota; Alphaproteobacteria; Acetobacterales; Acetobacteraceae. The record is from RNAcentral.
GUGCCAGCAGCGGCGGUAAUACGAAGGGGCUAGCGUUGCUCGGAAUGACUGGGCGUAAAGGGCGUGUAGGCGGUUUGUACAGUCAGAUGUGAAAUCCCCGGGCUUAACCUGGGAGCUGCAUUUGAUACGUGCAGACUAGAGUGUGAGAGAGGGUUGUGGAAUUCCCAGUGUAGAGGUGAAAUUCGUAGAUAUUGGGAAGAACACCGGUGGCGAAGGCGGCAACCUGGCUCAUGACUGACGCUGAGGCGCGAAAGCGUGGGAGCAAACAGGAUUAGAUACCCUGGUAGUCCACGCUGUAAACGAUGUGUGCUGGAUGUUGGGCUAACGUUAGUUUGUUCAGUGUCGUAGCUAACGCGAUAAGCACACCGCCGUGGGACGUACGGCCGCGAAGGUU